UACGUAGGGUGCAAGCGUUAAUCGGAAUUACUGGGCGUAAAGCGUGCGCAGGCGGUGAUGUAAGACAGAUGUGAAAUCCCCGGGCUCAACCUGGGACCUGCAUUUGUGACUGCAUCGCUAGAGUACGGCAGAGGGGGAUGGAAUUCCGCGUGUAGCAGUGAAAUGCGUAGAUAUGCGGAGGAACACCGAUGGCGAAGGCAAUCCCCUGGGCCUGUACUGACGCUCAUGCACGAAAGCGUGGGGAGCAACAGG
Molecule: ribosomal RNA, 252 nt
Filed under: uncultured bacterium
Lineage: Bacteria
Description: partial 16S ribosomal RNA
Rfam family: Bacterial small subunit ribosomal RNA
Source: RNAcentral